RNAcentral lists this ribosomal RNA (814 nucleotides) under Pseudoalteromonas shioyasakiensis. RNAcentral describes it as "partial 23S ribosomal RNA". It matches the Rfam family "Bacterial large subunit ribosomal RNA", at positions 393 to 1212 of the family's 2925-position model. The record is from RNAcentral. Lineage: Bacteria; Pseudomonadati; Pseudomonadota; Gammaproteobacteria; Alteromonadales; Pseudoalteromonadaceae.
GCAUCUUAAGUGAAAUCGAGUAGGUCGGAGCACGUGAAACUUUGACUGAAUAUAGGUGGACCAUCAUCUAAGGCUAAAUACUCCCAACUGACCGAUAGUGAACCAGUACCGUGAGGGAAAGGCGAAAAGAACCCCUGUGAGGGGAGUGAAAUAGAACCUGAAACCGUGUACGUACAAGCAGUAGGAGCCCUUCGAGGGUGACUGCGUACCUUUUGUAUAAUGGGUCAGCGACUUAUAUUUUGUAGCGAGGUUAACCGAUUAGGGUAGCCGUAGGGAAACCGAGUCUUAACUGGGCGUAUAGUUGCAAGGUAUAGACCCGAAACCCGGUGAUCUAGCCAUGGGCAGGUUGAAGGUUGAGUAACAUCAACUGGAGGACCGAACCCACUAACGUUGAAAAGUUAGGGGAUGACCUGUGGCUAGGAGUGAAAGGCUAAUCAAACCGGGAGAUAGCUGGUUCUCCCCGAAAUCUAUUUAGGUAGAGCCUCGGACGAAUACUUACGGGGGUAGAGCACUGUUAAGGCUAGGGGGUCAUCCCGACUUACCAACCCUUUGCAAACUCCGAAUACCGUAAAGUACUAUCCGGGAGACACACGGCGGGUGCUAACGUCCGUCGUGAAGAGGGAAACAACCCAGACCGCCAGCUAAGGUCCCAAAGUCAUAGUUAAGUGGGAAACGAUGUGGAAAGGCCCAGACAGCCAGGAGGUUGGCUUAGAAGCAGCCAUCCUUUAAAGAAAGCGUAAUAGCUCACUGGUCGAGUCGGUCUGCGCGGAAGAUGUAACGGGGCUAAACUAUGCACCGAAGCUGCGGAUUCAAA